Molecule: ribosomal RNA, 647 nt
Filed under: Amanita volvata
Lineage: Eukaryota; Fungi; Basidiomycota; Agaricomycetes; Agaricales; Amanitaceae
Description: LSU rRNA
Rfam family: Eukaryotic large subunit ribosomal RNA
Source: RNAcentral
UCAAUAAGCGGAGGAAAAGAAACUAACGAGGAUUCCCUUAGUAACUGCGAGUGAAGUGGGAAAAGCUCAAAUUUAAAAUCUGGCAACGGUUUGGUUGUCCGAGUUGUAACCUAGAGAAGUGCAGCCUGUGCUGGACCAUGUAUAAGUCUCCUGGAAUGGAGUGUCACAGAGGGUGAGAAUCCCGUGUUUGACAUGGACUGCCAGUGCAUUGUGGUGUGCUCUCAAAGAGUCGAGUUGUUUGGGAAUGCAGCUCUAAAUGGGUGGUAAAUUCCAUCUAAAGCUAAAUAUUGGCGAGAGACCGAUAGCGAACAAGUACCGUGAGGGAAAGAUGAAAAGAACUUUGGAAAGAGAGUUAAACAGUACGUGAAAUUGUUGAAAGGGAAACAUUUAAAGUCAGUUGUGUUAGCUGGGGAUCAACCUGGUUUAUUGCUUGGGUGUAUUUCCUGGGUGACAGGUCAACAUCAGUUCUGACCGGUAGAAAAAAGGCAAGGAAAUGUGGCACCUUUGGGUGUGUUAUAGUCCUUGGCUGUAUCUAGUGGUUGGGACUGAGGGAUGCAGCACACCCACAAGGGCCGUGGCCAGGUCAUUGCCUGGAGACGUUUGUGCUUAGGAUGUUGGCAUAAUGGCUUUAAGUGACCCGUCUUGAA